RNAcentral lists this ribosomal RNA (408 nucleotides) under Chilostoma tigrinum. RNAcentral's name for it is "Chilostoma cingulatum tigrinum partial 16S ribosomal RNA". It matches the Rfam family "Bacterial large subunit ribosomal RNA", at positions 1832 to 2601 of the family's 2925-position model. Lineage: Eukaryota; Metazoa; Mollusca; Gastropoda; Stylommatophora; Helicidae. The record is from RNAcentral.
AAUUAUACGUUGUUAUGUAUAACUAUUUCUGCUCCAUGGAAUACUAAAUAGCCGCAGUACCCUGACUGUGCAAAGGUAGCAUAAUCAGUUGACUUAUAAUUGAAGUCUGGAAUGAAUGAAUUAACGGGCAGCGACUGUCUUAGAUGAAAGAAGAGGAAAUUAAUAAGCAAGUGCAAAUGCUUGCCUAUUUAAAAUAGACGAGAAGACCCUAGAAACUUAUAUUAUUUUGUUGGGGCGACAGAAUUACACGGAACUAAUUUUAAUGUUACGUGAAUCAAAGAAGAAAGAAGAAGUUACUCUAGGGAUAACAGCAUAAUUAAUAAUAGUUUGUGACCUCGAUGUUGGACUAGGUAUUGUAGUUUUUAGAAGAAACUAUUAGUUGCUCUGUUCGAGCAGUUUUACCUACAU